UCCCUAGCAGGCUCCACUUUCAGUGGGAGAGUCCAACAUGGGGCCCAAUCCCAUGACCCUGAGAUCGCGACCUGAACAAAAAUCAAGAGCUGGACACUAGCCAACUAAGUUACUUAGGAUCCAUUUGAUGAUAGAGGCAGAAGCCCAGUUUGAAAUAGAGAGGCACAAAGGAACAUUUACUGGAAGGAGUUUUGCUCAUAUUCUGUGGAGAACCCUGGGAAAUACCCCUUUCCAGAAGAAGAUGCUGGAAGCCCAGUGAAGUCUUUGCAAGGAUCACACACUCAGAAAACUCUACAGCCGGAGAUGCGUACUCUAGUGACAAAGGCUAGCAGUCCCAUUUUACAGAUGAAAUUGUGGCCCAGGGAGCCCAGGGCAUUCAGUGUGGUGAAAGGACCUGCCUGGGUUCUAGGUGGCAGGAGUUCCACACUCCAGGAUCAGCAUCACCCUCUCCCCAACAAAGACCCCAGUGCUAGCCAGCUGCAGCCCUUUCCUCAGACGCUUGUGUGGCAGCCCCACGGGGCCCCUCCUGGGAGUGACCUUAUCUUAGUAAUCCCAGCCUCUCUUUGUUCCCCAGCUCUGGCCAGUAGUUGUUCUUGCUGGUGUGGUUCCUGUGAUUUCAGUGUCUUGUUUUAUUUUCCAGGUCUCCCACACUUGGUCAGCGAUUCUUUAUGUCAACUUCUCUCUGUUAAAGGGGCCGGGGAGCUCCUGUCUCCUGACGGGACCCUCAUGGACACACUGUGCUUAAUUUCAAGGACAGUUUCGCCCUUUUGCAUCCUUUCCCUCUCUGUCCUCCCUUGCAUCUUGUGGAGCAGGGUUUGCUAAUGGCAUCAGGGAAACGGAGAUCCAGGUAGUAAGUGGUGGAGCCAACACUGGACUCAGGCUCCCUGCCACCAAGGGCACCCUCUGUCCUGCUGAAGGCUGACUACUUGUCCUGGCUACAAGGGGAAAAAGCCAGGAUUCCCACCUAGAGUCGUAAAGUUGAGGUGCUCAUGGGCUCUGUUACAAACAUUAUAACAUUUCUGUUUUCAGGAAUGCAUUCCCUGUAAAUAUGAAAGAAGCACGAGAAUUGCUAGUAAGUCCCCAUGAUAAGUUCCAAAAGGAAGAAAGAACCUCAGUAAAAUAGGAUUAUUACACAAGGUUUACAGUUCUAAAGGGAAUUUCCUGGAAAAUGAUAUCGUUUCUUGCUCCUUCUUGUUCUUCUCCAUAUAACAUUUAAUGAGCUGCAUGUUCUGCAGGAAGUCUUUUCAUUGUGCAUUUUCCUGCAUGUCUGGCAUGCAUAAGAAUUUUGAGGUGCAUAAAGAAAAUGCGUUGAUGUCCACAAGUAUCAGGGUCUAGGGUUUCUCCUUACUUGAAUAUUCUUUGGGAAUGACUGUAAUCUUUACAUUGGUUUGCAUCAAGUACCUUAAAAACAGAAUAAUGUGGCCAAUACUUAGACGAUAUUUACAAGGUCCCAGGCUCUGCUCUGAGUGCUUUAUUAUAUUAGCUUUUACAAUUUCCACCACAACCCUAAUAUAACAUGUUUAUCUCUUCUUCAUUGAUGUCAUUAAGGCACAGGGAGGUUAAGUGCUUGUCCAGGAUCGCACAGUUGAUAAAUAUUAGAGCUGGGAGUUGAACCCAUGAUAUCUGGCUCCAGAAUUCUUGCUCUUAUCAAGAAUACUGAGCUUAUUUCUUAAAGUGUUUUUUUUUUUUUUUUUUAAGAGAGAGAGAGAGGGAGGGGGAAUUAGGGGUAGUGGGAGAGGGAGAGAGAGAACCUUAAGGAGACUCCAUGCCCAGUGUAGAGCCCCAUGUGGGGCUUGAUCUCAUGGCCCUGAGACCAUGACCUGAGUCAAAAUCAAGAGUCAGACACUCAAUGGACCAAGCCACCCAAGCGUCCUCACUGGCCUUGUUUCUAAGCUCACUUUCUUUUUGAAUCUGCAGUUGCCAGCAUAAGCAGGUUGCAUAUGAUCUCUGAAAACAGAGAAGAAGAAAGGCUGACCCAAGGUUGUAGACUAUAGUCAUGGUGGUUCAAGGUCACUUUGACAGAGUGCUACCUACACUGGUCACACCCUUUCUGGUGCCUGGAGAACGUGGUGGAUUGGCUGUGUUAAUGGCCUCAAUUGUUCUCAUGCCUCUCUGGGUCUCAUAUUGGAUUGUGCCUAUCACAUGAGUUUGGCCAAUGGGACAACGGCAACUUGACAUGGGCAGAAACUUAGAGGCAUGCUUGCAUGUGUUCGCUGGGCUCCUGGCAUUACUCCAAGGCCAGACCUGGGCUAAUUGGCUGCAGGGAGGUGAGAGACAUGUAAACAGCUGAGUCAUCCCAGCUCUGCAAGCUUAGACCAAUUUAGAGCCAGUCCAACUGCAAACACGUGGAAGAGCUCAGCCAAAAUCCGUAGAGUUGCCUAUCCAGUGUGCAGUGGACUGUAGCUGCAUGAGUGAGCCAUCUAGACCAUAACUGUAAGUUCAUGAGCAGUAAUAAAUGGGUUGUUGUUUUAAGUGUCUGAAUUCAGGUGAUUUGGUAUGUAGCACCAUAAUGUCAAUUGAUAACAGACAGAAUUACCAACUAUUGCCUGUCUGCUCUUUGCCAGCAGCCAUGUUGGUUUUUCCAUGUCUCCUUUCUCAUUUCAUCCUCAAAACGGCCCUGCUGGAGAACAAGUGUCUAGUCAGUGUUUCCAUUAUUGAUGUGCAUUAAGGAUAUCAAGAUUAUAAUUCUUAAUGGCUAACAAGAUACUCAACAUCACUAAUCAUUAGGGGAGUACAUAUCAAAACCAACAUGACACACCACCUCACACCCAGGAGGAUAGCUUCUAUCAAAAAAGAGCAAAUAACAAGUGUUGGUGAGAAGGUGAAGAAUUAGAACCAUUGUGCACUGUUGGUGGGAAUAUGAAGUCAUGCAGCUGUUGUAUAAAAUGGUAUAAUGAGUCCUCGAGAAAUUAAACUAGAAUUACCACGGGAUCCAGCCAUUCUGCUUCUGGGCAGGUACCAAAAGGAAGCAGGGUCUCAAAUGGAUGCUAUGUAUAUCCAUGUCCACAGAAGCAUUAUUUACAAUAGCCAAAAGGUGGGAACAACCCAAGUGUUCAUGGAUGGAUGAACAGAUAAACAAAAUGUGGAUAUGCAUAAACAGUGGGUAUUUAGUCUUAAGAGGGAAGAAAAAUUCUGGUUAUACGGACUUGAGUAUAUUGAUGCUUCGAGGACAUUUUGCUGUGGGAAAUAAAUGAGCCACAAAAGGACAAAUAUUGUAUGAUUCCUCCUAUAUGAAAUAUCUAGAUGGUAGAGUUCACAGACACAGAAAGCAGAAUGGUGGCUGCCAGAGCUGGGGCAGGAGGAAGUGGGGGUAUUAUUGUUUAAUGGAGGCAGAGUUUCAGUUUUGCAAGACGAAGAGAGUUCUGGAGAUGGAUGGUGGUGAUAGUUGCCCAACAAUGUGAACUUACGUAGUACCACUGAACCAUACACUUAAAAAUGGUUUACGUGGUAAAUUUUACAUUCCGUGUAUUUUAAUACAACUGAAAAAAAAUAUGAUUACUGUUCCAUCUGCUUCUAAUGCAAAU
Molecule: long non-coding RNA, 3524 nt
Organism: Mustela lutreola (European mink)
Lineage: Eukaryota; Metazoa; Chordata; Mammalia; Carnivora; Mustelidae
Exons: 3
Source: RefSeq, a predicted model, not a curated record